GGUUCCGAGAAGUCUCCACAAGCAUCCAGGCAAUGGGUGUGUUAGGGGAAUUUCUCUUUACCCUUUCCCUUUCCCAGCUCAGAGUGGCUACUUCUGGAAAGGUGGUUCACAUUGCCUUAGAGAGUGGUCCCCUCUUCUCCCAGUAUCCCCUGAGGUUGGGUUAAAACAGCACGGAUAUUCUAGGACAUCUAUCGAAAGUUCUCCAUACAUGGUCGUCCAAAGUCUGCUUCCAUGGAUUUCUCUUUAAAAUUUGAAGCCCAGACCAGCCUAGCCCUGGAUCAGCAUGAAGACCCAAAGGCGAGUAACCCCAGACUGAGAAGUCUCAACAGGAAGAAAUAUGGGUGACGUGGAGAGGGGUACAGGGUGGCCAGUUUAGAAGCAGCUAUAAGGUAACCGAAGCGGCUCAGAACAAGGACCCUCGAGGGGAGUGGGAGCUACGGAGUAUCCUGGAGAAUGUGAGAGAGGAAUCGGGAGCUGGGGACCUAGAGGAGAGGCUCGGUAUACAGCAAAAUGGGGGCCACCAGGAAGAGACUGCAGUGAAAAUUUUGGAGGAGCGGGGCCAGCGGUACCUGAUCGGUGAAUAGCAUUUGCGAUGGCUGCAUCCCAGACAGAAUGGUCCCAUCCCAGCUCUGGGCCCCAGGCGCUGGGGUUGCAUUUUCUGUGAGCAGGCUAUGGAAGACCCCCAGAAGUGAAACUGACCUCCCGGGCCAAGUGAAUGCAGGCCCCACCUUCUUCCUGCAUCAGCUCCCGGAAUGGGAGGGCUCUAGGCGAUCAAGCCCAGAAGGCUCCUGCCCACCUCUUUGUCCCUUGGCUUGGCAGAGACCUGCUCCUCUGUACAGCGGCCCGCGGGGAUCGCAAAGAGAAAGGGAAACUAACUGAUGGUAGAGAGAAGCUGAUGCCGACCGCGGUGAGGGUAGGACAGACGCCCCAAGGGUGGCCCCAGGCGUCUCCAUCCAACCUGCCUAGACCAUCCUGUGCCGAGCUUGCAGCCAAAGCUGCCAGUUGAACCAAGGGUUUGACUCUGUAGGUGUUAAGGAGUGGGGACCCUUACAUUUUCUCCCUUCGGCUUAGGAGGGGAGGGGACAGCCUGGCUUCGCAUUUCUAAUUGUGGCUUGGAUUUUGGCACCCUUCACCUCUAAUUUCCCAACUGCCCCAGGUGUGGAGCUAGACUGAGAUCAACGGGGAGCACAAAAAUGGAUCAUUGAUGGCUCCGAAUCAGCCAGCAGCAGGUGGCCGAGCUGGUAUCAGAGCCCGUCAUCCAAGCUUGUUUCCCUGCAGAUGAGGGAGACCGAAAUGAGUUUACUGUUCUCACAGACCUGUGUCUCUCGAGGGCAGUAGCGUGGACCAGUCAAAUGUAGCAAGUGCACGCUUCUGGUUAUUGAGGUUCAGCUAGCGUUCUUUGGAGGAGUGAAUGCACACGGAGUCAAGUAAUCUUCCAGUGGUUUGGGAUACACGUGUGCAGGUAUACACGGUGCUCUCCACAGAGGCUCUGGGCACAGUAGCCAGUUCCUGUAGGGCGAGCGUGUCACAGCGCCCCCAUCUGGUGGAAGGCUAUCCUUAUUUCUUUACAAAGCCAAACUUGUUGAACUUGGUGGGGGAGGGAGUGUGUGUAGUUUUCUACUGUCUUGGAAAACAAAUGGACACAAUAUAACAGCACUAAUGGGAAAUAAUACUUCAGUCGGAAGUAGACACAUAUAAAAAGAAAAUAUAACAAAAGUAGAUCCAGAAAAUGCACCAAACUCAGAUCCAAAGGAGGACAUAGUGCUAAUAAUACCAGCCCUGCAGCCAAGAUAUUCUGUCUCUUUCUUAAUGUGGCCUUUGAUGAUUUAUUUAACAUCCUGAGUCUAAUAUUCUUCAUCUAUAAAUGGGCAUUUUAAAAAAGCUACCUUAUUGGGAUGCUGGCAAGAUAAAAUGUGGUUUAUGUAAGAAACUUAGCAAGUGCCCAAACUGUUAUAAGAAAUGAAUGAAAGAAAUAGCGCCAGUCACUGUAUUUAUUUCUUUAUUACAUGUAUUUGUAUGAGUGUUUGUUUGCACCUAUGUGUAUAUACCAUUCAAAAGAGGGCACCAGGUCCCUGGGUACUGGAGUUCCAGAUGGUUGUGAGCAGCAGUGUGGGUGCUGGGAACUGACCCUGGGUGCUCUUACCUCACCACUGAAUCAUCUCUCCAGCCUGUCCUCUAUCCUCUGACAAGAGAGAUGGGAUGUCUCCUGAAGUGCCUUGGAUGGAAUUUUAAUCGAUCAGUGAACCUGGAAACGACUGCCUUGUACAAGGGUCAUAGUGUGUGUCCUAGAGAAAUUGGAAGUUUUUUGACGGAUCCAUUUCCCUAUCUCCUGUGUGUUUGGUUUAGUGAGAAAUUACUAAAUACCCCUACAGUCGCGAUGCCAUUUUGUAUUCUCCAUGCCAGAUGCCCCCUGCCUGGCAUCUAGUGAUGUCGCUCAUUUCAUCUUAAUCACCAAUGGAUUUAUAGUGAUAUAGUGAGGUGGUUCGGUUGUUUUGCUCUGCUUUGCUUUUUGAGACACACGGUCGCUAGGUAAACAAGGCUGAACUUGGACUCCAGAUCUCUGUGACCCUGCCUCCUCAGGACUGGGGACCACAGGCACAUGGUACUGUGCCUCGCUUUGCUGUGGUCUCCUUGUUCAUCUCCGCGUGGUUAAUGACAGAGAACAGUGCAUUCAGGUGCUUUUCUGCCAUCCCUAGAGAGCUGCAUUAAACAGAUUAGUAAUCUGCAUAAAUAUAUUCAUCUCCUUGACUCUUUCCAUCCUGAAAGCCACUAAGUCCAGCUUUCUCCUUCCUUCCAUUCUGUCUCUGUGAUCUCAACCACAGUAAAGUCACUUGUGUUUCUGCAUAUUUUAUUGUUACUAUUGCUGAGAUGAAACACCAUGACCAAAGCAAUUUGGGGAGGGAAGGGUUCAUUUGGCUUACACUUCCACAUCACUGUUCAUCAUCAAAAGAAGUCAGGGCAGAAACUCAAACAGGGCAGGAACCUGGAGGCAAGAGCUUGCUCUCUAUGGCUCGCUCAGCUGCCUUGUUAUAGAACCCAGGACCACCUGUCCAGGGAUAACACCACUCACAAUGGGCUGAGUCCUCCCAUGUCAACCACUAAUUAAGGAAAUGUCCUACAGCUGGAUUUUUAAGUGGCUUUCCUGCAAUUGAGAUUCCCUCCUUUCAAGUGACUCUAGCUUGUGUCAAGUUGAUACAAAACUAGCCAGCACUCUGUGACUGGCUUUUUUUCAUCCACACAAUGUCCUUAGUGUUCAUCUACAUUGGAGAAAGUGUCUAAUUUCUUUUCUUUUCUUCCUUCUUUUGCUUGCUUUUCAGACAGGAUUUCUUCAUGUAGCUCUGGCUGGCCUGGAACUUAGCUGGUCACAAACUCAGAGAUCCACCUGUUUCUGCCUCCCCAGGGCUGAGGUUAAAUUUGUGUGCAGCCAUACUGAGAGGUCCCCUAAAAAUAAAAAACCUUAAAAAUUAAAUAAGAAAAAAAGAGUUUCGGUUUCCAAGAAAAGCCGAUUGGACUCCUCAGAGGGAGCUCCUGGAGAUAGGCUGUUAAUCACUGGUGGCUCUGUAGCCUUGGGCUGAGAUAGUUCCUGGAGUCUCCUCAACACCUCACC
This 3607-nucleotide long non-coding RNA is filed under the name Mus musculus (house mouse). RNAcentral describes it as "RIKEN cDNA D730005E14 gene (D730005E14Rik)". Lineage: Eukaryota; Metazoa; Chordata; Mammalia; Rodentia; Muridae. The record is from RNAcentral.